Molecule: ribosomal RNA, 503 nt
Filed under: uncultured bacterium
Lineage: Bacteria
Description: partial 16S ribosomal RNA
Rfam family: Bacterial small subunit ribosomal RNA
Source: RNAcentral
AUUGAACGCUGGCGGCAGGCUUAACACAUGCAAGUCGAGCGGGGUGAUGGUGCUUGCACUAUCACUUAGCGGCGGACGGGUGAGUAAUGCUUAGGAAUCUGCCUAUUAGUGGGGGACAACAUCUCGAAAGGGAUGCUAAUACCGCAUACGUCCUACGGGAGAGAGCAGGGGAUCACUUGUGACCUUGCGCUAAUAGAUGAGCCUAAGUCGGAUUAGCUAGUUGGUGGGGUAAAGGCCUACCAAGGCGACGAUCUGUAGCGGGUCUGAGAGGAUGAUCCGCCACACUGGGACUGAGACACGGCCCAGACUCCUACGGGAGGCAGCAGUGGGGAAUAUUGGACAAUGGGUGGAACCCUGAUCCAGCCAUGCCGCGUGUGUGAAGAAGGCCUUAUGGUUGUAAAGCACUUUAAGCGAGGAGGAGGCUCUUUUGGUUAAUACCCAAGAUGAGUGGACGUUACUCGCAGAAUAAGCACCGGCUAACUCUGUGCCAGCCGCCGCAGUAA